This 491-nucleotide ribosomal RNA is filed under the name uncultured bacterium. Its description in RNAcentral is "partial 16S ribosomal RNA". It matches the Rfam family "Bacterial small subunit ribosomal RNA", at positions 29 to 506 of the family's 1533-position model. The record is from RNAcentral.
AGUGAACGCUGGCGGUAGGCCUAACACAUGCAAGUCGAACGGCAGCACAGUAAGAGCUUGCUCUUACGGGUGGCGAGUGGCGGACGGGUGAGGAAUACAUCGGAAUCUACUUUUUCGUGGGGGAUAACGUAGGGAAACUUACGCUAAUACCGCAUACGACCUACGGGUGAAAGCAGGGGAUCUUCGGACCUUGCGCGAUUGAAUGAGCCGAUGUCGGAUUAGCUAGUUGGCGGGGUAAAGGCCCACCAAGGCGACGAUCCGUAGCUGGUCUGAGAGGAUGAUCAGCCACACUGGAACUGAGACACGGUCCAGACUCCUACGGGAGGCAGCAGUGGGGAAUAUUGGACAAUGGGCGCAAGGCUGAUCCAGCCAUACCGCGUGGGUGAAGAGGGCCUUCGGGUUGUAAAGCCCUUUUGUUGGGAAAGAAAAGCAGCAAGUUAAUACCCCGCUGUUCUGACGGUACCCAAAGGAUAAGCACCGGCUAACUUCGU